RNAcentral lists this unclassified non-coding RNA (205 nucleotides) under fungal sp. RNAcentral's name for it is "partial internal transcribed spacer region". The stretch from base 1 to 46 matches the Rfam family "Eukaryotic small subunit ribosomal RNA", at positions 1786 to 1831 of the family's 1831-position model. The record is from RNAcentral. Lineage: Eukaryota; Fungi.
AAGUCGUAACAAGGUUUCCGUAGGUGAACCUGCGGAAGGAUCAUUACCACAUCCAAAAUCUUACAAACCCACAAGUGUGAAGUUGUGAUGAGGAACCUUCUUCAUUUUUUUUUGAACCCCUUUUGAACUUUUUACCAAGAGAAUAAGCAAGACUAAAAAAUGAGAAAAGAGAAAACAACUUUUAACGGUGGAUCUCUUGGCUCGU